This 252-nucleotide ribosomal RNA is filed under the name uncultured bacterium. Its description in RNAcentral is "partial 16S ribosomal RNA". It matches the Rfam family "Bacterial small subunit ribosomal RNA", at positions 524 to 776 of the family's 1533-position model. The record is from RNAcentral.
UACGUAGGUCCCGAGCGUUAUCCGGAUUUAUUGGGCGUAAAGCGAGCGCAGGCGGUUAGAUAAGUCUGAAGUUAAAGGCUGUGGCUUAACCAUAGUACGCUUUGGAAACAGUUUGACUUGAGUGCAGAAGGGGAGAGUGGAAUUCGAUGUGUAGCGGUGAAAUGCGUAGAUAUAUGGAGGAACACCGGUGGCGAAUGCGGCUGUCUGGUCUGUAACUGACGCUGAGGCUCGAAAGCGUGGGGAGCAAACAGG